This 499-nucleotide ribosomal RNA is filed under the name uncultured bacterium. Its description in RNAcentral is "partial 16S ribosomal RNA". It matches the Rfam family "Bacterial small subunit ribosomal RNA", at positions 28 to 507 of the family's 1533-position model. The record is from RNAcentral.
GACGAACGCUGGCGGCGUGCUUAACACAUGCAAGUCGAACGGGCCUGUCUUCUUUUUUGGGGGUGGGUUGAGUGGCGAACGGGUGAGUAUCACGUGAGUAACCUGCCCUUCGGUCCUGGAUAACCGCUUGAAAGGGCGGCUAAUACGGGGUGGUCCGGUUGGUCCGCAUGGGCUGGUCGGGAUAGAUUCACUGUUUUUGGUGUUUCGGCGGGGGAUGGGCUCGCGGCCUAUCAGCUUGUUGGUGGGGUGAUGGCCUACCAAGGCGGUGACGGGUAGCCGGCCUGGGGGGGUGGGCGGCCAGACUGGGACUGAGAUACGGCCCAGACUCCUGCGGGAGGCAGCAGUGGGGGGUAUUGCACAAUGGGCGGAAGCCUGAUGCAGCGACGUCGCGUGAGGGAGGGAGGCCUUCGGGUUGUGAACCUCUGUUUCCGGUGGUGAAGGCCCUGUCCGUGUGGUGGGGUUGACGGUAGCCGGGGAUGAAGCGCCGGCUAACUACGUG